Molecule: unclassified non-coding RNA, 213 nt
Filed under: Hevea brasiliensis (rubber tree)
Lineage: Eukaryota; Viridiplantae; Streptophyta; Magnoliopsida; Malpighiales; Euphorbiaceae
Source: RNAcentral
GCUUGGGAUAAACAAAAGAGUCGGCCUGAACUCCAUCCCCCAAAAAGAAAACAAAAUUACAGCAAUCAUAAUACUAAAGGUUGCUAUGUUUUCUCAGUGGGGAAGAGCAGCAGACUGUAUAUUUCCUUGUUUGUAUACAUCAUCUCAACUACAUUCUACAGCUUUUGAAGCACUCAAAGUCAUGUCCCGUGCUACUUGUAUCUCUGGAAUGAA